Molecule: unclassified non-coding RNA, 296 nt
Filed under: Hevea brasiliensis (rubber tree)
Lineage: Eukaryota; Viridiplantae; Streptophyta; Magnoliopsida; Malpighiales; Euphorbiaceae
Source: RNAcentral
GGAGGGACGGUCCAAUAGCUGCCAAAACAAGAGUGGCCGUUCCUUUGAAAUUUAUCAAGGGAGCUUUUAUCAUUUGGUAUCAGAGCCUGGUUCUCUAAAUCAGGUCACUAUCCUUUUCUUUUUGUGUUUUCUUUGUAUUAUCUUUGUGUUUGAGUUGAGUUCUCUUUUUCCAUUUUUCUGCUGUUUUCUUCACACUUUCCGUGCAUAUAAGGUUUAGUAGUAAGGUUAACACCAAGAACUACUAACCCUCAUAAGUGUUUGUGUCUUUUCCCCCUUUGUAUUUGUUUGAGUUUUUU